Molecule: long non-coding RNA, 516 nt
Filed under: Urocitellus parryii (Arctic ground squirrel)
Lineage: Eukaryota; Metazoa; Chordata; Mammalia; Rodentia; Sciuridae
Description: lncRNA (ENSUPAG00010001040.1)
Source: RNAcentral
AYGGUCUGUGAGGUAGAGCUGCCCAGCUGCGGGCCCUGAGUGGUGCUCACUUAAAAUUCUGGUGUUUUAUUAGGUUAGAAUCAGAUUCUCCAGCAAAGGGUGAGACUGCAAGAUGUGGAAACCACAAGGGGAUAUCUGAGAGAAAGGUUUGGCUCAGUUUACCUUUGCUGUUCACACCUCACCUUGUCCAAAAAUAUCUUCUAAACUCAGAAUUCCUAAGAGGACCUUGAAGAAGUGCCAAAGUCCUUCAACUGCCUCCUGGGAAACAUUAGGGUUAUUCAUGGCUUCCUCCUUUGGUGGCUGCAGCGUCUUCUGACUGUUGUGACGGAGCCUGACGCUGGCCAGCGGCCACCACCRAGCUUAAGCAUGGAGUCAAAGGGGGCCCUGAAGGCAGCCUUUCAUCUUGGGAUGCAACCUCACCUAUGCCUAACCUGUCACCCUGGGUUUUUGAAUUCAUAAAUUCCUCUCCUUAUUUAUUUAUUUAUUUGCAAUAAAACAUUUAGAGUUGAAUUUUCU